This 419-nucleotide ribosomal RNA is filed under the name uncultured bacterium. RNAcentral's name for it is "bacterial SSU rRNA". It matches the Rfam family "Bacterial small subunit ribosomal RNA", at positions 355 to 772 of the family's 1533-position model. The record is from RNAcentral.
UAAGGAAUAUUGGUCAAUGGACGCAAGUCUGAACCAGCCAUGCCGCGUGAAGGAUGAAGGUCCUCUGGAUUGUAAACUUCUUUUAUCUGGGACGAAAACGGGAUUUUUAUCUCAAUUGACGGUACCAGAGGAAUAAGCACCGGCUAACUCCGUGCCAGCAGCCGCGGUAAUACGGAGGGUGCGAGCGUUAUCCGGAUUUACUGGGUUUAAAGGGUGCGUAGGUGGGCUUAUAAGUCAGUGGUGAAAUCUCCGAGCUUAACUUGGAAACGGCCGUUGAUACUAUAGGUCUUGAAUUAUCUGGAGNUAAGCGGAAUAUGUCAUGUAGCGGUGAAAUGCUUAGAUAUGACAUAGAACACCAAUUGCGAAGGCAGCUUACUACAUAUAAAUUGACGCUGAGGCACGAAAGCGUGGGGAUCAGA